AUCCAGCUGACGAGUUCCAAAUGGGACAAAAAGCGCGUCCUAGAU
Molecule: non-coding RNA, 45 nt
Filed under: Schistosoma haematobium
Lineage: Eukaryota; Metazoa; Platyhelminthes; Trematoda; Strigeidida; Schistosomatidae
Source: RNAcentral